RNAcentral lists this non-coding RNA (185 nucleotides) under Blastococcus sp. RNAcentral also lists the same sequence under 1 other name. Lineage: Bacteria; Bacillati; Actinomycetota; Actinomycetes; Geodermatophilales; Geodermatophilaceae. The record is from RNAcentral.
UAGCGUUCCCCAUGCCGCAGUGUCAGGGAAGCCGGUGCAAGUCCGGCACGGUCCUCGCCACUGUGACCGGGGAGCGGACCCCCCACGACACCACUGGUGCACCUCGCGGAGCGCGGGACCACCGGGAAGGUCGGGGCGAGCGUCGAUCCGGGAGUCAGGAGACCGGCUGCGGCGCGCACCACGUC